AACGAACGCUGGCGGCAGGCUUAACACAUGCAAGUCGAACGCCCCGCAAGGGGAGUGGCAGACGGGUGAGUACCGCGUGGGAAUCUACCCUGAACUGCGGGAUAGCUCCGGGAAACUGGAAUUAAUACCGCAUGUGCCCUGAGGGGCAAAGAUUUAUCGGUUCAGGAUGAGCCCGCGUCCGAUUAGCUAGUUGGUGGGGUAAAGGCCUACCAAGGCGACGAUCGGUAGCUGGUCUAAGAGGAUGAUCAGCCACAUUGGGACUGAGACACGGCCCAAACUCCUACGGGAGGCAGCAGUGGGGAAUAUUGGACAAUGGGCGCAAGCCUGAUCCAGCCAUGCCGCGUGAGUGAUGAAGGCCCUAGGGUUGUAAAGCUCUUUCACCGGGGACGAUAAUGACGGUACCCGGAGAAGAAGCCCCGGCUAACUUCGUG
This 431-nucleotide ribosomal RNA is filed under the name uncultured bacterium. RNAcentral's name for it is "partial 16S ribosomal RNA". It matches the Rfam family "Bacterial small subunit ribosomal RNA", at positions 29 to 507 of the family's 1533-position model. The record is from RNAcentral.